This 530-nucleotide ribosomal RNA is filed under the name uncultured bacterium. Its description in RNAcentral is "bacterial SSU rRNA". It matches the Rfam family "Bacterial small subunit ribosomal RNA", at positions 355 to 896 of the family's 1533-position model. The record is from RNAcentral.
UGGGGAAUAUUGCACAAUGGGCGGAAGCCUGAUGCAGCGACGCCGCGUGGGGGAUGAAGGCCUUCGGGUUGUAAACUCCUUUCGACAGGGACGAAGCGUAAGUGACGGUACCUGUAUAAGAAGCACCGGCUAACUACGUGCCAGCAGCCGCGGUAAUACGUAGGGUGCGAGCGUUGUCCGAAAUUACUGGGCGUAAAGAGCUCGUAGGUGGUUUGUCGCGUCGUCUGUGAAAUUCCGGGGCUUAACUCCGGGCGUGCAGGCGAUACGGGCUGACUUGAGUGCUGUAGGGGAGACUGGAAUUCCUGGUGUAGCGGUGAAAUGCGCAGAUAUCAGGAGGAACACCGAUGGCGAAGGCAGGUCUCUGGGCAGUAACUGACGCUGAGGAGCGAAAGCAUGGGUAGCGAACAGGAUUAGAUACCCUGGUAGUCCAUGCCGUAAACGGUGGGCGCUAGGUGUAGGGGGCUUCCACGUCUUCUGUGCCGUAGCUAACGCAUUAAGCGCCCCGCCUGGGGAGUACGGCCGCAAGGCUA